Molecule: long non-coding RNA, 321 nt
Filed under: Androctonus crassicauda
Lineage: Eukaryota; Metazoa; Arthropoda; Arachnida; Scorpiones; Buthidae
Source: RNAcentral
UUUUGGUGAAUGAAAGUUUGGGUGUUGUUCUUUAUACAGCGUAACUGACGUCAUUCAGAAUUAAAGCUGCUACAUGGUAAUUUAGAAACGAUCUGUUUGAGCGCAACAUGGAGGACGCCAUCUGUGCCAUAACUACACUAGACAACAGCAUCGGAAGGCCAUAUUCAGUCUGUGGAAGUGGGGUAUUACAAACUUUUCUGACUCUUAAUGCGCACGGAAUUGUCGAUUUCGGUGUAAAAAGUAAAAGCAUCAGUAAGAAUAAUGUUUAUUUUUAUGUAAUCGUGCCACUGGGCUUACAAGUUUCAAUUUUGAACAAACACC